RNAcentral lists this ribosomal RNA (253 nucleotides) under uncultured bacterium. RNAcentral's name for it is "partial 16S ribosomal RNA". It matches the Rfam family "Bacterial small subunit ribosomal RNA", at positions 524 to 776 of the family's 1533-position model. The record is from RNAcentral.
UACGAAGGGUGCAAGCGUUGUUCGGAAUUAUUGGGCGUAAAGGGUUCGUAGGUGGGAAGGUAAGUCGAGUGUGAAAUCCCUGAGCUCAACUCAGGACGUGCACCCGAAACUGCUUUUCUUGAGUGUUGGAGAGGGUGAUAGAAUUGCUGGUGUAGGAGUGAAAUCCGUAGAUAUCAGCAGGAAUACCAGAGGCGAAGGCGGUCACCUGGCCAAACACUGACGCUGAGGCACGAAAGCGUGGGGAGCAAACAGG